CUAGAAAUCAGAAGAACACAUUUAAGUGCUUUUGCUGAGAGCAUGGCCAAAUCCUUCCUCGUGUGGCUGUUAUUCUUGGUUUGGGGAUGUGCACGCAUAGCAUGUAUGAGGAGGGUGGUAAGUACUGAAGGCAGUGGCAUGAUUUGAAUCCAGAGGAAGCAAGAGUUGAAGGGCUCCCCCAAAGGAAGAGGAUGACAGAAGUUCAGCAUUUGGAAAUGAAAUACAAAGGUUGCCAUAGUAAGCUAACAACAGAUUUCAAAUCUAUAAUUUUACCUGGAGAGAGUCAUGUUAGAGUCCCCUCUGAGUAUUUUUGUUCCCUCUUAUGCUUUAAAUGCUUCAGAAACAAGUCACUCUGAAUUUAAGUUGUGCUCCUAAUUACCCUUAUUAUUAUUCUCAGAAUGUUCUUCAGAAGUAACGUGGUUUGUAGGAAAGAAAAUUAAUUGUAGCUCUUCUUGGUUUGGAAAUGCAGGCAACUGCAUACUCUGGCAAAUUCAUGUCUUGUUUUCCUCCUGUGUGAAGAUAACAGAAUUUCUCUUUCUACUUGUUUUUCUUGGGAUCCCUUUGGGAUUUGUUUUUUCCAGAUGGGUGAGACAGAAUUUUGCAUAUGGAAAUUGUUUUUGAAAUCACAAGAAAGUCAAGAGCAAGUCAGCCAGAGAAACAAAAACACCACAGCCAUCCCCUUGAAGACUUUUGUUCC
This 697-nucleotide long non-coding RNA is filed under the name Marmota monax (woodchuck). The record is from RNAcentral. Lineage: Eukaryota; Metazoa; Chordata; Mammalia; Rodentia; Sciuridae.